Molecule: ribosomal RNA, 2811 nt
Filed under: Siphonobacter sp. SORGH_AS_0500
Lineage: Bacteria; Pseudomonadati; Bacteroidota; Cytophagia; Cytophagales; Cytophagaceae
Description: 23S ribosomal RNA
Rfam family: Bacterial large subunit ribosomal RNA
Source: RNAcentral
GAAGAAGUUAUUAAGGGCGUGCGGGGAAUGCCUAGGCUCUCGGAGGCGAAGAAGGACGUGAUAAGCUGCGAUAAGGUUCGGGGAUCUGCACAUUAGAGUUGAUCCGAACAUUUCCGAAUGGGACAACCCACUUGAUUGAAGAUCAAGUAUCCUUAGGGAGGCCAACCUGGUGAACUGAAACAUCUAAGUAACCAGAGGAAAAGAAAACAAAAGUGAUUCCGCAAGUAGUGGCGAGCGAACGCGGAACAGCCCAAACCAGUUCCGUUACGGCGGGAUUGGGGUUGUAGGACUGCUUAUUAGGAGCUAAUUGAAGUUGAAUGAUCUGGGAAGGUCGGCCAUAGCAGGUGAUAGCCCUGUAGACGUAAAGGUUAGUGACGUAGCAGUAUCCUGAGUAGGUGGGGACCGGUGAAAUCCCCUCUGAAUCCGGCGGCACCAUCCGCCAAGGCUAAAUACUCCCGAGAGACCGAUAGUGAACGAGUACCGUGAGGGAAAGGUGAAAAGUACCCCGAACAGGGGGGUGAAAAGACCCUGAAACCGCACGCUUACAAGCGGUCGGAGCUUCGUAAUGAAGUGACGGCGUGCCUUUUGCAUAAUGACCCUACGAGUUGCGGUUACUGGCCAGGUUAAGUAUUGAAGAUACGGAGCCGAAGCGAAAGCGAGUCUGAAAAGGGCGAAACUAGUCAGUGGCUGCAGACGCGAAACUUUGUGAUCUACCCAUGACCAGGUUGAAGUGUCGGUAACACGACAUGGAGGACCGAACCAGUUGACGUUGAAAAGUCUUUGGAUGAGUUGUGGGUAGGGGUGAAAGGCCAAUCAAACUGAGAGAUAGCUCGUACUCCCCGAAAUGUUUUUAGGAACAGCCUUGGGAUAGAGUUAUACGGAGGUAAAGCUACCGAUAGGACUAGGGGGAGUCAAAUCCUACCAAAUCCUGACGAACUCUGAAUGCCGUAUAAUAUGCCCAGGAGUGAGGGCUGGGGUGCUAAGGUCCCAGUCCGAGAGGGAAAGAACCCAGACCAUCCGCUAAGGCCCCUAAAUCAGGGCUAAGUUGAACAAAGGAGGUCCGACUGCAGAGACAGCCAGGAUGUUAGCUUGGAAGCAGCUAUUCAUUUAAAGAGUGCGUAACAGCUCACUGGUCGAGCGGGGCGGGCAUCGAUAAUAAACGGGCAUCAAGUCUUGUGCCGAAGCGAUGGAAGUAGUAAUACUUGGUAGGGGAGCAUUCUCAGGACAGUGAAGGUGUCGCGGCAAGCGAUGCUGGAGUGCUGAGAAAAGCAAAUGUAGGGAUAAGUAACGAUAAGAAAGGUGAGAAACCUUUCCGCCGUAAGGAUCAGGAUUCCUCAGCUAUGCUAAUCAACUGAGGGUUAGUCGGGGGCUAAGGGGUUAGCGAAAGCGAAGCUUCGAUGCACAGCAGGUUAAUAUUCCUGCACUUACACUGGUGCGAGACAAUGACGGAGCAUAUGGGUUCCUACGUACGGACGGAAGUGUGCGUGGAGCUGAGCCCGCAAGGGCAAGGCGAAGGGACGAGUAUUCUUCCAAGAAAAGUUGUUUAGCUAUAGCCAGCCGUAACCCGUACCGUAAACCGACACAGGUAUCCGGGUAGAACAUACCAAGGCGCUCGAGUGAAUCACGGCUAAGGAACUCGGCAAAUUAACCCUGUAACUUCGGGAUAAGGGGAACCACAGCGAUGUGGUCGCAGAGAAAUGGCCCAGGCGACUGUUUAACAAAAACACAGGGCUUUGCUAAAACGAAAGUUGACGUAUAAGGCCUGACACCUGCCCGGUGCUGGAAGGUUAAGAGGGGAUGUUAGUCGCAAGGCGAAGCAUUGAAUCGAAGCCCCAGUAAACGGCGGCCGUAACUAUAACGGUCCUAAGGUAGCGAAAUUCCUUGUCGGGUAAGUUCCGACCUGCACGAAUGGUGUAACGAUCUGGGCACUGUCUCAGCCGUGAGCUCGGUGAAAUUGUAGUAGCGGUGAAGAUGCCGCUUACCCGCCACGGGACGGAAAGACCCCGUGAACCUUCACUACAGUUUUGCACUGACUUUUGGUAACUGGUGUGUAGGAUAGGUGGGAGGCUAUGAGUCGGUGUCGCUAGGCAUCGAGGAGCCAACGUUGAAAUACCACCCUCCGGUUGCUGGGAGUCUAACAUUAGAUUGGACAAUGCAUGAUGGGUAGUUUGACUGGGGUGGUCGCCUCCAAAAAAGUAUCGGAGGCUUUCAAAGGUACCCUCAGCACGCUUGGUAACCGUGCGUAGAGUGCAAUCGCAGAAGGGUGCUUGACUGUGAGGCAAACAGGCCGAGCAGGCACGAAAGUGGGAGAUAGUGAUCCGGCGGUUUCCGAAUGGAAGGGCCGUCGCUCAAAGGAUAAAAGGUACUCCGGGGAUAACAGGCUGAUCUCCCCCAAGAGCUCACAUCGACGGGGAGGUUUGGCACCUCGAUGUCGGCUCGUCACAUCCUGGGGCUGGAGAAGGUCCCAAGGGUUCGGCUGUUCGCCGAUUAAAGUGGCACGCGAGCUGGGUUCAGAACGUCGUGAGACAGUUCGGUCCCUAUCUGUGGUGGGCGUUGGAAUUUUGAGAGGGCUUGACCUUAGUACGAGAGGACCGGGUUGAACCGACCGCUGGUAGACCAGUUGUUCCGCCAGGAGCACCGCUGGGUAGCCACGUCGGGUGAAGAUAAGCGCUGAAAGCAUCUAAGUGCGAAACUUGCCUCAAGAUGAGAAUUCCUAUGAGAGCCGUCAGAGACGAUGACGUUGAUAGGCUACAGGUCUAAAGUUGGUGACAACAAAGCCGAGUAGUACUAAUGCCUCCAAGACUUCUUUUU